RNAcentral lists this long non-coding RNA (2208 nucleotides) under Ananas comosus (pineapple). Its description in RNAcentral is "long non-coding RNA (ACOM_LNC011602)". Lineage: Eukaryota; Viridiplantae; Streptophyta; Magnoliopsida; Poales; Bromeliaceae. The record is from RNAcentral.
UUCUUUUUCUUUUUUUGAGAGAUAGGUAGCAAACUAGCAUGCUACCCGCUUCAUUUAUUUCAUUUUAAAAAUAAACUUAGCUGAAAAUGUGAAUCAACUAGGAUUCGAACUUGGUUCUCGGGUAUCAACCACCAAGUCCUUUGCCACUUGCUCUAGGAACGAUCAGUAUCGAGAUACUUUCUUAAACUUAUGAAUUCAACCUUCGAAUUUGAGAAAUACAAAUAAUUUUUUUUUUCAUUUAAUCUUUCCAAACUCUUUUUUUAUAAAUGGCUUCAGUAAAUUUAUAUUUGCAUAAAUAGUUCUCUCCCUGCCACGAAAGAAUGCAUGUUAAGUUGAAUACGAUGAUUCAAUCAUUAUGUUUAAAGACGGUGACUACCUUAUUCUUUCACUUAGUGAUAAUAGAAAUUAAAAAAUAUAUUAAAAAAAUAUAAUAAUUCAAUCAUUAUAUUUAAACACAUUGACUAGAUCAUCAUGUUUAACUUAAAAACAUCACAUGACCUUUUCUAUCUAGCAUGGUGCUUGCGUGACAGGUAGAAAGUCAUUUAUGCAAAUAUAAAUUUGUCAGACCUAUUUGUUAAAAAAAAAAGCGGCUAAAUGUUUGAAAAACAAAAAAAGAUAAACUUUAAAUACGGCCCCUGUGGUUUCUCACUUUCUCACUUUAGUAUCAUGUGGUUUAAAAUGUAUCAAUUUAGUGCCCUGUGAUUUUAUUUUUCUCUUUUUGUGAGUUUUUUCGUUAAUAUUUUGUUAAAUUAUAUAAAAAGCUUUAGAUAUCUACCUAGGUUUAUCGAAUAUUCACUUUAGCAACUUUUAGUUUCAAUUUUAUUAUUGAUUUAAAAAAAAAAUAGUAAAAUUGAUAAUAAAAAAAAAAUAAAAUUAUAAGGUAUUAAAGUGAGAAGAUACNCAACGUAGUUUCAAUUGCUGUAUUUGAAUAUCUUUGUCGAGUUCUCACUGCAAAAAUAAGAUUCAAAUAGAUCAAACUAAAUAUCAUUAGGAUUUAUGUGAAAUUAUAAUUAUAGUACAAUUAUAUGUGAUCAAAUAGUCUUUUAUUAACUGCACUUGAGGUGACUGAUUAUUAAACUAUUUAAGAAAGUUUAGGCCCUUUUUUCGUAAGACUAGUUUAGAAGUGAAACGUCGGAAGUUAUCGAUCUAAAAUUCGUAAAUUUUGUCAACUUGCAUUCGUAAAAUCAAACAACUAAAAUCUACACACUUAUGAGUAAGAAUUCAGAUAAUUUUGUGAUUUUGAUAGCAAGAUACUUUCUUUUUUCUUUUUUCUUUUUUUGAGAGAGAUAGGUAGCAAACUAGCAAGCUACCCGUUUCAUCUAUUUCAUUUUAGAAAUAAACUUGGCUGAAAAUGUGAAUCAACUAGAAUUCGAACUUGGGUCUUGGGUACCAACCACCAAGCCCUUUGCCACUUGCUCUAAGGACGGUCAAUAUCGAGAUACUUUCUUAAACUUAUAAAUUCAACCUUCGAAUUGGAGAAAUACAAAUAAAUUUUUUUUGCAUUUAAUCUUUCAAAACUAUUUUUAUAUAAAUGGCUUCAGUAAAUUUAUAUUUGCAUAAAUAGUUCUCUUCCUGCCACGAAAGAAUGCAUGUUAAGUUGAAUAAGGUGAUUCAAUCAUUAUGUUUAAAGACGGUGACCGCCUUAUUCUUUUACUUAGUGAUAAUAGAAAUUAAAAAAUAUAUUAAAAAAUACAAUAAUUCAAUCAUUGUAUUUAAACACAUUGACUAGAUCAUCAUGUUUAACUUAAAAACAUCACAUGACCUUGUCUGUCUAGCAUGGUCCUUGCCUCACAGUUAGAAAGUCAUUUAUACAAAUAUAAAUUUGUCGGACCUAUUUGUUAAAAAAAAAAAGCGGCUAAAUGUUUGAAAAACAAAAAAAGAUAAACUUUAAAUACCACCCCUGUGGUUUCUCACUUUCUCACUUUAGUAACAUGUGGUUUAAAAUGUAUCAAUUUAGUGCUCUGUGAUUUUAUUUUUCUUUUUUUGUGAAUUUUUUUGUUAGUAUUUGAUUAAAGUAUAUAAAAAACUUUAGAUAUCUACUUAGAUUUAUCGAAUAUUCAUUUUAGCACCUUUUAGUUUUAAUUUUAUCAUUAAUUUAAGAAAAAAAAAAAUAGUAAAAUUGAUAAUAAAAAAAAAAUUAUAGGGUACUUUAGAACAUACGAAAUCAUAUAGGUGGUAUUUGAAGUUUUCCAAAAAAAAAAAAAACCA